ACAUUUCUUUGCACUGGAGAAAUGAUCUCAUUAACAAACUAGUUCUGUGCGUCCUUAACACAGGCCCCUUGCCUGCAGCUGGAGCCAGCUCUCUGUUCAGCCCCAGUGCAGAGUGACACAGACAAGCGACAGCGUCGCUGAGCGCUAACUUCUAUUCCACCGAGGCAGACAGCGAAAACCAUUUCAGAACCAUGGCAAGGCAUGAGAGAAGCACAGGGAUAAAGUCAGUGAGAAAGAGUAUGAAGUACAUAUGGUCUUAUUGUCUACCUGGUAAAUAUUGCCCCAUCAUUUAAGAUUCAAGUCUUAUGCAUUCUAUGUGGUCUUUCUGAACCUACUUCUCCCCAGUAAUACCAUUAUCUCUCUCUCUCUCUCUGUCUCUCUCUCUCUCUCUCUCUCUCUCUCUGAUGCUUCUAAAAGAAUACAUGCAAAUGACUCCAUUUAUUAAGAAUACAAUCAUAUUUAUAUAUAUGUGUGAUUUUAAAAU
This 484-nucleotide long non-coding RNA is filed under the name Callithrix jacchus (white-tufted-ear marmoset). Its description in RNAcentral is "lncRNA (ENSCJAG00000080490.1)". The record is from RNAcentral. Lineage: Eukaryota; Metazoa; Chordata; Mammalia; Primates; Cebidae.